AGAUAUGUUCGUAGAGCCACGAACAGGAUAAUCAAAAAAAAGCUCAUUGAGA
This 52-nucleotide non-coding RNA is filed under the name Fusobacterium mortiferum. Its description in RNAcentral is "6A RNA". It matches the Rfam family "6A RNA". From Rfam's summary of the family: Actinobacteria (1 example), Firmicutes, Fusobacteria. Terminator (Clostridia) Lineage: Bacteria; Fusobacteriati; Fusobacteriota; Fusobacteriia; Fusobacteriales; Fusobacteriaceae. RNAcentral also lists the same sequence under 1 other name. The record is from RNAcentral.